RNAcentral lists this ribosomal RNA (634 nucleotides) under uncultured bacterium. RNAcentral describes it as "bacterial SSU rRNA". The stretch from base 1 to 535 matches the Rfam family "Bacterial small subunit ribosomal RNA", at positions 338 to 873 of the family's 1533-position model. The record is from RNAcentral.
CCUACGGGAGGCAGCAGUAAGGAAUAUUGGUCAAUGGACGCAAGUCUGAACCAGCCAUGCCGCGUGAAGGAUUAAGGUCCUCUGGAUUGUAAACUUCUUUUAUCUGGGACGAAAAAAGGCGAUUCUUCGUCACUUGACGGUACCAGAUGAAUAAGCACCGGCUAACUCCGUGCCAGCAGCCGCGGUAAUACGGAGGGUGCAAGCGUUAUCCGGAUUCACUGGGUUUAAAGGGUGCGUAGGCGGGCAGGUAAGUCAGUGGUGAAAUCCUAGAGCUUAACUCUAGAACUGCCAUUGAUACUAUCUGUCUUGAAUAUUGUGGAGGUAAGCGGAAUAUGUCAUGUAGCGGUGAAAUGCUUAGAUAUGACAUAGAACACCUAUUGCGAAGGCAGCUUACUACGCAUAUAUUGACGCUGAGGCACGAAAGCGUGGGGAUCAAACAGGAUUAGAUACCCUGGUAGUCCACGCCCUAAACGAUGAUUACUCGACAUUUGUGAUACACUAUAAGUGUCUGAGNGAAGACAUAAGUAAUACCACCNCGGAAGGUACGACCGACGAGUUAGUAAACGUUAAAGGUAAAGUUAGUACGGCGUGAGACGUUAGCCGACGGACGACCGACCGAGGGGAGGGUAGGGAG